GGGGGCGUUGCUCAGAUGGUAGAGCCCUCGCUUAGCAUGCGAUAAGUACAGGGAUCGAUACCCCGCGCCUCCA
Molecule: non-coding RNA, 73 nt
Organism: Trichonephila clavipes
Lineage: Eukaryota; Metazoa; Arthropoda; Arachnida; Araneae; Nephilidae
Source: the annotation of a GenBank genome assembly